This is a non-coding RNA of Aegilops tauschii subsp. strangulata, 490 nucleotides long. NCBI's taxonomy places the organism in Eukaryota, Viridiplantae, Streptophyta, Magnoliopsida, Poales, Poaceae. The record is from RefSeq and is a predicted model, not a curated record.
CCUUCUCGUGCAUCGCAAAACUAUGGAUGCUCGCCAUGGAGAUCCUCGCCUCGCCAUGGUUCAGGACAGCACGGUGCACGGCGGUCUUGACCCUGCCAUUGCUCAGAACCUCCAUGCAGUCUCCUACGUGGACGUGCAACGCGUGCCGGGGUUGCUGGACCACUCUCCAAGUGUCACUACUGCGGUCAAGGACCUCCAGGCCCGGGCAGCUCGCGAGCAAGAUGUUUGAAGAAUUCUGAAGCUGCUUCAACGGCACGGUCCAUGACAGAUUGACUGAUCCCAUGGUUUAUAACCUGAAAAAAAUGAGGAUUAUCAUGGCAAUUUGGAUACGCGGGUAAGCUUUGUUUGCUCCCUUAUACCUGCUUGUUAGUAGAGUGUCUAACAAGGGUUCAUGAAAACGCAGUACCUUAAACUCUCCCCUAACCCUAACAUAGACACAUGGCUACUUUAUCGGAAAGACACAUUCUAUGAAGUUGUUACUUUUCUCGAA